ACGCGCAUGAAUGGAUUAAC
This 20-nucleotide non-coding RNA is filed under the name Arabidopsis thaliana (thale cress). The record is from RNAcentral. RNAcentral also lists the same sequence under 1 other name. Lineage: Eukaryota; Viridiplantae; Streptophyta; Magnoliopsida; Brassicales; Brassicaceae.